GAGAUAGAGAGUGGAAUGUAGCCAAGGAUGACUUGCCGGGUAUGUGCAUGUACGCUUCAGGGAAUUAUAUGCAUCCCUGGUCUGAAUCCAUGCUGAUAUUUCCCGG
Molecule: non-coding RNA, 106 nt
Organism: Brachypodium distachyon (stiff brome)
Lineage: Eukaryota; Viridiplantae; Streptophyta; Magnoliopsida; Poales; Poaceae
Source: RefSeq, marked provisional